CACUCCAAGGAAGACAGAAGGUUAACAAUGGACAGGACCCAAGGGGCAGUCUCUGAGCUGUGAGCCUUCAUCCCUUCCCCUCCAGAGAGAAGCCAACAAUGGGGAAUGAGACUCUGGCCUGUAAUCAGUCCUGGGCUGAAGCCUGGGCGCUGGAGGUUCCCCACGACACACGACUUUUGAGGAGAAUCUGAGAGUUCGGGAAACUUGUCUUUUGGAAUUUGAUGGAACAGGCAUAGGAAGAGCUAUGACAGGAGACAGAUGACCAAGGCUCCUCAGGACCACAUGCUAAACGAACAGAGGUAAGAUGCUGAAGGCAGCUGGUCGAGGCUAGCCAGCAGCACUACAUAAAUGUUGAAAUGUUGUCAACAAUAAAGGAAAAAUGAGCCGUGACACAAAGGCCAAGAAUUCUGUUUCCUUCAGAAGACCUGGAACAACUGGGAACUGACUGAGCAACAGGACAACAGUGUAUACAGGUCGUCAUCCAGUCACCUAUGUUGAGCUUUCUUACCACCUGCAUGUCUGCAUCGGGCACCUGGAUGUAUUUGGAGAGGGUGCAUUUGAUCUGAGUGAUAGUAACUACAGCGAUGUUUUGUGAUGUCUCACAGAAGCACUGUUAGCCAGGUGUAUUCACUGGAGGGAAGAAACCAAUUCCCCACCCCAGUCCACAUGUCCCACUGCCUCCUCGCCAGCAGAACCUCCAGGCAUAGUCAAAGCUCCCUUGCUUUAUCCUUCCUGCUCAGGUCCUAGGAAGUUUUUCAACACUUUUGGGUCCAAAUGCAUAACAGCAUCCUUUGAGACCAUAUUUAGUAAUUUAAAAGUGUUUCUAGUUCUCUAAGAACAUUUCCAACUUACACAUUCAUAAUUUGCUGGGCAGACUUGUUUUACAGAACACAUAUUUAUAAAGGUAGGUGACCGCCUAAAUAAUAAUAAUAUUAAUCAAAUAAAUAAAACAAAUUUAUUAUCAUCAUCAUUUUGAGACUAUAUAACCAUCAUAAGUGCUGGGAUUAAAGGCAUGUUGCCAUCACGAUUGGCUUAAAUUAUUAUUAUUAUUUAUUGAAAUUCAACAAUAAUAUUAAAACAUUGAAAAUGAUACCAAGUGUAACUUUCAUUACUAUUCAUAAUCUCACCAGGAAACAACUACUAAGCAGUAUUUUUCCUUUUGAUCUUUUAAUAGUUUGUAUAUGUAUACAUACUUAUAUAUACACACAUGCAUAUAUAACUUUUCAAAAGUAAGAUUAAGUCCAUAUAUUUAGUUUAUACCUUUCUAUACUUAUCAUUCAUUGCAUCGUAUCAAGAAUUCUUUUGGCCGGGCGUGGUGGUGCACGCCUUUAAUCCCAGCACUUGGGAGGCAGAGGCAGGUGGAUUUCUGAGUUCGAUGCCAGCCUGGUCUACAAAGUGAGUUCCAGGACAGCCAGGGCUAUACAGAGAAACCCUGUCUCGAAAAACCAUUAAAAAAAAAAAAA
Mus musculus (house mouse) is the source of this 1463-nucleotide long non-coding RNA. RefSeq annotates it as predicted gene, 33620. The transcript has 3 exons. NCBI's taxonomy places the organism in Eukaryota, Metazoa, Chordata, Mammalia, Rodentia, Muridae. The record is from RefSeq and is a predicted model, not a curated record.